Molecule: long non-coding RNA, 278 nt
Filed under: Salmo trutta (river trout)
Lineage: Eukaryota; Metazoa; Chordata; Actinopteri; Salmoniformes; Salmonidae
Description: lncRNA (ENSSTUG00000004055.1)
Source: RNAcentral
GCUGGGGCUGAAUGCUGUGGCUGCGACCCUGUUGAAAGACUGGGUGUUGUCCAAUCAGCUCGCUGGUGUGUACAAAGGGCCGCACAGAGGAGGGCUGCCAGGGGAAACAGAGGAGCGGGGAGGCAGGCGGAGAAGACUUGCAUAGAGCUGCUUCAGCAAGACCAAAAGAUGAUAGAAGAGAGGAAAAGCGCAAGAAAGCUCUCCUGACCAAAACCAUCGCUGAGAAGAAGCGCUAUGAGAAGGCGGAGGCUGAGCAUGUGACGGCCAAGCUGGACCUA